This 436-nucleotide ribosomal RNA is filed under the name uncultured bacterium. RNAcentral describes it as "partial 16S ribosomal RNA". It matches the Rfam family "Bacterial small subunit ribosomal RNA", at positions 29 to 507 of the family's 1533-position model. The record is from RNAcentral.
AACGAACGCUGGCGGCAUGCCUAACACAUGCAAGUCGAACGAGAUCCUUCGGGGUCUAGUGGCGCACGGGUGCGUAACGCGUGGGAAUCUGCCCUUAGGUUCGGAAUAACAGUUAGAAAUGACUGCUAAUACCGGAUGAUGACGUUAAGUCCAAAGAUUUAUCGCCUGAGGAUGAGCCCGCGUAGGAUUAGCUAGUUGGUGUGGUAAAGGCGCACCAAGGCGACGAUCCUUAGCUGGUCUGAGAGGAUGAUCAGCCACACUGGGACUGAGACACGGCACAGACUCCUACGGGAGGCAGCAGUGGGGAAUAUUGGAACAUGGGCGCAAGCCUGAUCCAGCAAUGCCGCGUGAGUGAUGAAGGCCUUAGGGUUGUAAAGCUCUUUUACCCGGGAUGAUAAUGACAGUACCGGGAGAAUAAGCCCCGGCUAACUCCGUG